Molecule: ribosomal RNA, 463 nt
Filed under: uncultured bacterium
Lineage: Bacteria
Description: partial 16S ribosomal RNA
Rfam family: Bacterial small subunit ribosomal RNA
Source: RNAcentral
GACGAACGCUGGCGGCGUGCUUAACACAUGCAAGUCGAGCGGAAAGGCCACUUCGGUGGUACUCGAGCGGCGAACGGGUGAGUAACACGUGAGUAAUCUGCCCCUGGCUUUGGGAUAGCCACCGGAAACGGUGAUUAAUACCGGAUAUGACACAUUCUCGCAUGAGUUUGUGUGGAAAGUUUUUCGGCCAGGGAUGUGCUCGCGGCCUAUCAGCUUGAUGGUGAGGUAAUGGCUCACCAUGGCUUCGACGGGUAGCCGGCCUGAGAGGGUGACCGGUCACACUGGGACUGAGACACGGCCCAGGCUCCUACGGGAGGCAGCAGUGGGGAAUAUUGGACAAUGGGCGGAAGCCUGAUCCAGCAACGCCGCGUGAGGGAUGACGGCCUUCGGGUUGUAAACCUCUUUCAGUACCGACGAAGCGCAAGUGACGGUAGGUACAGAAGAAGCACCGGCCAACUACGUG